This 2158-nucleotide small RNA is filed under the name Pan troglodytes (chimpanzee). RNAcentral describes it as "retained intron". The record is from RNAcentral. Lineage: Eukaryota; Metazoa; Chordata; Mammalia; Primates; Hominidae.
GCAGUAUGGUUUGAAGUGGUGAACAUGGAUUUUUCUCGGCUUCACAUGUACAGUCCUCCCCAGUGUGUGCCGGAGAACACGGGCUACACGUAUGCGCUCAGUUCCAGCUAUUCUUCAGAUGCUCUGGAUUUUGAGACGGAGCACAAAUUGGACCCUGUAUUUGAUUCUCCACGGAUGUCCCGCCGUAGUUUGCGCCUGGCCACGACAGCAUGCACCCUGGGGGAUGGUGAGGCUGUGGGUGCCAACAGCGGCACCAGCAGCGCUGUCUCCCUGAAGAACCGAGCGGCCAGAACAGCAAAACAGCGCAGAAGCACAAACAAAUCAGCUUUUAGUAUCAACCACGUGUCAAGGCAGGUCACAUCCUCUGGCGUCAGCCAUGGCGGCACUGUCAGCCUGCAGGAUGCUGUGACUCGACGGCCUCCUGUAUUGGACGAGUCUUGGAUUCGUGAACAGACUACAGUGGACCACUUCUGGGGUCUUGAUGAUGAUGGUGAUCUUAAAGGUGGAAAUAAAGCUGCCAUUCAGGGAAACGGGGAUGUGGGAGCCGCCGCCGCCGCCUCCGCGCACAACGGCUUCUCCUGCAGCAACUGCAGCAUGCUGUCCGAGCGCAAGGACGUGCUCACGGCGCACCCCGCGGCCCCCGGGCCCGUGUCGAGAGUUUAUUCUAGGGACAGGAAUCAAAAAUGCGGUGCGUCUUUCUACGUGAAUAGGAUUUUGUGGCUGGCCAGAUACACUGCGUCAUCUUUUUCAUCAUUUUUAGUUCAACUUUUUCAAGUGGUUUUAAUGAAGCUCAGUUAUGAAUCAGAAAAUUACAAAUUGAAAACUCAUGAAUCAAAAGAUUGUGAAUCCGAAAGCUAUAAGUCAAAAAGCCAUGAAUCAAAAGCUCAUGCCAGUUACUAUGGGAGAAUGAAUGUGAGAGAGGUUCUCAGAGAGGAUGGCCACCUCAGUGUAAAUGGGGAAGCGCUGUGUAAGUAUGGCUUCGUUUUCCUGUGGGCGUCGGUCGUGGAGUUGGUCCCACACGCUGUCAUGUUGGGUACUAGCAGUAGAGAAUGAACGGCCCGUGUGACAUGGCGGUCCUCACUGAUGACGACGGGCUGUUGGAGCUGCUGCUUAAGCCCUCAUCACAGAAGCUCAUAGCCACCAGAUCGCAUUUGCUUUGAUUGUUGACUGUCUUGUGUGUAAUUGAGUUUCCCAGUUUUUACAGACUGCCAUUGCUAUGCACAGUUGAGAUGGACAGAGUUUGCUUGUGAAUCCGCCACACUCACUGCCUGUCACCACACCCGCAGGCGACGACUGUAAGGGCAAGAGGCACCUCGACGCGCACACAGCCGCCCACUCGCAGUCGCCACGGCCGCCCGGUCGGGCAGGGACCCUCUGGCACAUCUGGGCAUGUGCAGGUUGUCUCUCGCCCCGUCUCCGUCUCAUCUCGCCCUGUCUCCGUCUCAUCUCGCCCUGUCACCAUGCUAUUUGUGUCUUGUGUGGUUUGUGCUUGGAAUUCAAGUGCUUUAAAGUCUUGCUGUAAAAACUGACAGGAAUAGUAUUAACUUUGGUUUAAAACAGGGUGAAUCUCUCUCGAAAAGCUCCCUCGUACAUUUUUUUUGGAGGCAGAGUCUCACUCUGUUGCCCAGGCUGGAGUGCAGUGGUGCAAUCUUGGCUCACUGCAGCCUCCACCUCUAGAGUUCAAGCAAUUCUCCUGCCACAGCCUCCUGAGUAGCUGGGACUACAGGCGCACACCACACCACCACACCCAGAUAAUUUUUUUGUAUUUUUAGUAGAGACAGGGUUUCACUGUGUUAGCCAGGAUGGUCUCGAUCUCCUGACCUAGUGAUCUGCCCGCCUCGGCCUCCCAAAGUGCUGUUGGCAUCUUAAAAAAAAAGUUAGUUUCAAAAAUAAUUGUCUCACCUGCUAAUGAAUAAACAUAAAGUCAUUGAUUUUUCUUUUAAAUUCUCAUAAGCCAUAUUUCUUUGCAUGUCAACCAUGUUGUAAUUACAUAGUUGCAGGAAUUCACAAGCAGGUGUUAAGUCACUGUGAGGAGAUAACCACCCACAGUGAGAACUGGAACAAAACUUACUUUGGGAGGCCGAGGCGGGUAGAUCACUUUGAGGCCGGGAGUUCAAGACCAGCCUGGCCAACAUAGCAAAACCCUGUCUCUUAAAUU